GGGGGUAUAGCUCAGCUGGAUAGAGCAACGGCCUUCUAAGCCGUGGGUCGAGGGUUCGAGUCCUUCUACCCCCGCCA
Molecule: transfer RNA, 77 nt
Filed under: Haliea atlantica
Lineage: Bacteria; Pseudomonadati; Pseudomonadota; Gammaproteobacteria; Cellvibrionales; Halieaceae
Also listed under: 3 other names
Description: tRNA-Arg
Rfam family: tRNA
About the family: Transfer RNA (tRNA) molecules are approximately 80 nucleotides in length.
Source: RNAcentral